Molecule: small nucleolar RNA, 104 nt
Organism: Pistacia vera
Lineage: Eukaryota; Viridiplantae; Streptophyta; Magnoliopsida; Sapindales; Anacardiaceae
Source: RefSeq, a predicted model, not a curated record
AUUCGAUGAUGAGGGCAACUAGCAUAAAGUUUCUUGAACUGCUCCCAAUACUCAUACAAACUUUCCUCACUGUACUGCCACAUACCACAAAUCUCCUUCUGAAU